This is a long non-coding RNA of Perca fluviatilis (European perch), 363 nucleotides long. RefSeq lists it as uncharacterized. The record is from RefSeq and is a predicted model, not a curated record. NCBI's taxonomy places the organism in Eukaryota, Metazoa, Chordata, Actinopteri, Perciformes, Percidae. The transcript is spliced from 2 exons.
GUGCUGCAGCGGCCUGGCUUGCUCAUCUUCUCCCUUGGUGUUGCUGCUGACUGGAUCUCCUGUACCCUGGUGGAGCUGAAUCCCAGACUCUGCAGUGAAGUGGUCCUUUUCUCCCACACUGAUGCGUGGUGACGUCCCUGGACUCGGCUAUUCAAAGCCCCGCUGAAGCAGAUAUUCUGUGCCGGCGCCAGGAGAAACACGGAGCUGACUCCAGGCUGGACUGGACUUGGUUGUUGUUUCACCCUGGGACAGAAUAUUGGACAAUCCAUGGUUCUAUUGUCUCCCCUGGUUUUUGAGGAGAUUGUGAUUUUAAUGUCAGUUUAAACUUAACUUUUAAACUAUUAAAAUGGCUGGGAGUCUAAA